Molecule: long non-coding RNA, 366 nt
Organism: Thunnus maccoyii (southern bluefin tuna)
Lineage: Eukaryota; Metazoa; Chordata; Actinopteri; Scombriformes; Scombridae
Exons: 3
Source: RefSeq, a predicted model, not a curated record
CGGUUGGUCUCCGUGAAGACAUCUCAGCCUUUGUUCCUCUGUCCACACACAGCAGGACACUCCCAUCUGAGGCAGUUUCAUCAGUCUGGAUAGGGGUUUUGUCUUGUAAUCCCAGUUUCUCCAUAAUCAACUCAAUCCUGGAUGUGAUGCCUGCCACAGAGCUUUCAAGGUGGAGAACCUGCCUGGUCAGUCUUUCAUGGAAAGAGAGAGAAUUUGGUUCCCAUCACGAUCAAACCGUGAGAAAGCUGCUGAAAUUUCAUGAUCAGCAUGUCCCAUCCUACAAGAUCAUCAGAGUGGUGAAGGAUAUUUUUUAUGCUUUGUGUUGGAAUAAGUUGGUAUAACAAUCUUUUUGAUAUUUUUGUCACU